AAACGACGAGGACAAGGAGAUGGAACGGGUUACGUGAUUGGUUUAUUAACGGGCGGGGGAGGAGGGUUGAAUUAAGUGCGCAGUGCGCACGCGCACGGCUGACUGUGCUGAGAGGACCCCCACGGCAGGUAUUCAAGUUUUGUUCACUUUGUCUUUCCUGGAAGACUCCAUGGUUAACUGGGAGAACUAGUGCGUUUGUGACAAUGAGAUACCAUGCAAUUCCAGCCUGAUUAUCUGAGAGAGGAAGUGAUUUGUGUUCAGACUACGUGAACCACUUUGUUUUUUAGCCCCAAUUUAAAUCAAGAGUCUGGUGAACAGUCAGAAGAAACACUCUUAUUAAAGUUCCAGUGACUGAUAUCAAUUGUUAAGUUAUCGGCUUCUCUCUGACAGUUCAGUAUGUAUGUUCAGUCAAGCAGUGCCCUUCUUGUAACUGACUACAUUCCUGUUCUAGCUUGUUGUGGAAUAACUUCUUCUCAAUGCCACCCAAGGGAGGCAACUAUGACAAAUCCAUGUAAAUAUUCUGAAAAUAAUCUCCUUAUGGGAACAGAUAAAACUAUACAAAAGGAGGAAAAAACCCUGAAUCUUGCUUGGCUGACCUUUUGGUCAACCAGCUAAUGGGUGUGGUGAAGUUAUUGCUGUAAUAGUACUUAUUACACAUUGUCCUCUCUAUCAUAGGAGUUUGACUUAGAUUAAACAUUUUUGUUUGGUUUUGUUAGUAUAUUAGCUAGUUCAAGACCUUUCUUAAAGUUAGCUUGUUCACUCUCUGAGGAAGGAUAAAUAUCAGUGUCAUCUACCAUCCAUACUGCUAAACCAAUCAACUUCCCUGUACCCACCCCUACAAAAACAACAUUGUAAGUUGUAAUGACUUCAAACAAUGCAGCGUUUAUUACUAGUUAUGCAUUAUAAUAGCAUAAUUAGAUGCAGCAGGACAAUGUGAGCAUCUCUGAAGUAUAAUGGCCUGGCAGGCUACUGGUAAUGCAACAUGCUGUCAUGUGGAAGACUAACAUCUGGGUCCAAGGUCAGGUCCUCACUUCCUGGGCCAGCAGAAUACAGGGGUACUGCAGAAGUUCCAGACAAAACAAGGGCCAGUCUUACUUGGCUGGAGGGAGUAUGGGCAAGUAGUCUUGGUGAUGUUGGGUUUGUAGCAAGGCCAGUCACUGAGUGACAAGAAAAAUCCACUGGAGGCUGAGGUGUGUUUGACAGUCACCCUUUCUGGGUUGGGUUUUGUUGCACGGGUUCUGUAUGAUGUCCAACUUGGCAAAAGCUUCUACCUGCAUUCUUCCACCCGGUUUAAAAAGUAGUAGACUCAAAACGACAAAAUACAAACCAAACUGGGUCACUCUUGUAUUUCCUCAGCACUCCUUGCCCUGACUUCUAGAACACAGAAUGCUCGUACUGCUGACUUCUGCCUAGAAUUAAUCCACCCUUCUUUUAAGGGAGUUAGCUGCACCUAAUCAGAUGCUAGCUCAGGAUAUCUCUCUGUGUUGUGUCUGAACUCUAGCAGAUCAUUAACAUAUCCAAUAUAUUAAAUAGGGGAAACUGAGGCACUGUGCGGUUAAGUGGCUUGUCUUACAGUAAUUUGUGACUUGUCUUAGCUUUCACAGUGGGUCAGUGUCAGAGUUGGGAACGGAAACAAAAGGGAUAUAGAGCAAUUCUCUCUCUUUCUGGCCCAGAAACUGUUCAAAUAUUUUCUACAAAGUGGAACAGCUUCAACAGGAGAGAUUGAGAAAAAUCCAGUACAGAAUAUUCCACAGCCCAGUUGUUAGGGACUCACCCAGAUGGCGGGAGCCCCAUGUUCAAAUCUCUGUCCCAAUGAAUAUUCAAGUAUUUUAUACAAAGUGGAACAGUUUCAACAUGACAAACUGAGAGGGACACACCCAAGAAUAGCCUACAGCUUGGUCGUUAGGACACCACCUGGAAUGCGGGUGAGGGAAGGGGAGACCUGGAUUCUAAUCUCUGCUCCAGACCAGAGCAGAGGUUUGAACCUGAGUCUUCCCUUUUCCAGAUGGAUGCCCUAACCACUGGGCUAAAGGCUAUCCAAGGGACUUCACUUACUCAUCUGUGCGUUCUGUGAAUGGUACCAAGGUCCCCAUGUAAAUUUAGUUUUUUUAAAAAAUGACCAAAACUAUUGAGCAAAUUCAUUAAUAGUUUCAGGCUGACUGAAACUGCAUUUUUCAUGGAAUAAACUAUUUGAAAAAUUUUGCUGAACCCCAUGUGGGAUGCUUUCAAAAAAAAUCCUGCAAAGACUGAACUCUGGCCUGUAUUUCAGCAAAGAGUUACACGAAGGUGCAGGAAAGGGGAGUGCACCAGCAGCAGUUGUACGUUAAUUUAGCCCAUCCCAUUAUACAGAUUGAUUCCUGCAAAUGUUGGGUUUCAACAUAGAAAAAUGUUUGUACAAACAGUUUCAACUCUGUUCUCACAACUUUAUACUGCUCUCCCCAGAUAAAACCAAUAUAUCCCUGAUCUCUCCCACCCGAUCCUAUCUAUGAGAUGCUCCUCCUUUAAAAAAGAAAAAAGAAAAGAAAGGAAAUUCCCAGGUGAAAAAUUUAUCUUCAUUAACUUCUCAAAGAAUAAUGAUCAGUUAAUGUAAUGUGGAUAGAGAUCUGAAUAUCUUACAAUUCAUGUAGAUUGUUAUGGAUUCCCAUAUCUGCUGCAGUCUCAGACUGUAUUAACUUUUCUGCAGAUUCUGCAUGAGGUUGGUGGAGGGACAAUGUACAUCUUACAUUGCCUCUCUGCCUUCCAAACCCUGCAGAGAACUUCCAUGUACCAGAGAUUAAGGAUGUGUGCCAUGGAGCAGGGCUGACCCCCUACUUUUGUACAGAAACAAAGAGAUCUAUGCACAGAAAAGACCUUCCAUAUGGCAGUCUGUGGGGGAUGGAGAAGAAUAACAACAAUCUGGCUCUAGAAUUUUAAGACAAAGCUGUUCUUAAUUAUCACUGUAACCAUUAUGAUUUAUCUGCAUUUGCAAGGCAUCAAACAUCAUAAAAGGAUCUGGGCCCAAUUUUUUAAAACAGUAGCACACUGCCAGAAAAUGGCAAAAAAAGGACAAUCUUCAUAUAUCCUGGACCACCACCAUAAUUUAAAGGAACUCAGAAGCGCUAUUUCCCCAGGAAUACAUCCUUGAUCCUAAUAAUAUUUCUGUAAAUGUUUUAAGUAAAACAUGUUUUCCCUUCCAAA
Chelonia mydas (Green sea turtle) is the source of this 3177-nucleotide long non-coding RNA. RefSeq lists it as uncharacterized. NCBI's taxonomy places the organism in Eukaryota, Metazoa, Chordata, Testudines, Cheloniidae. The record is from RefSeq and is a predicted model, not a curated record. The transcript has 2 exons.